RNAcentral lists this microRNA precursor (141 nucleotides) under Gossypium arboreum. Its description in RNAcentral is "MIR7502 microRNA precursor family". It matches the Rfam family "MIR7502 microRNA precursor family". The record is from Rfam by way of RNAcentral. Lineage: Eukaryota; Viridiplantae; Streptophyta; Magnoliopsida; Malvales; Malvaceae.
UAUUAAAAUUUUCAUAUAUUUCUACUGUUAAAAAUUGACGUGAUAAACGGAAUAACCAAACAUAUUUGACAUGCCAAGUGCACCUCAUUUUGAGGUACAUGACCAGUUUUUAACCGUAAAAAUAGAUGUAAUUUUGUAGUA